Molecule: ribosomal RNA, 497 nt
Filed under: uncultured bacterium
Lineage: Bacteria
Description: partial 16S ribosomal RNA
Rfam family: Bacterial small subunit ribosomal RNA
Source: RNAcentral
GAUGAACGCUGGCGGCGUGCCUAAUACAUGCAAGUCGAGCGAACGGACGAGAAGCUUGCUUCUCUGAUGUUAGCGGCGGACGGGUGAGUAACACGUGGAUAACCUACCUAUAAGACUGGGAUAACUUCGGGAAACCGGAGCUAAUACCGGAUGAUAUUUUGAACCGCAUGGUUCAAAAGUGAAAGACGGUCUUGCUGUCACUUAUAGAUGGAUCCGCGCUGCAUUAGCUAGUUGGUAAGGUAACGGCUUACCAAGGCAACGAUGCAUAGCCGACCUGAGAGGGGGAUCGGCCACACGAGAGCGGAGCCAGGGUCCAGGCUCCUAAGGGAGGGAGCAGACGGGAAUCGGCCGCAAUGGGCGGGAACCUGACGGAGCAGCGGCGCGUGUGUGAUGAAGGUCUUCGGAGCGUAAAACUCUGUUAUUAGUGAAGAACAUAUGUGUAAGUAACUGUGCACAUCUUGACGGUACCUAAUCAGAAAGCCACGGCUAACUACGUG